GAGCGAACGCUGGCGGCAGGCCUAACACAUGCAAGUCGAGCGCCCGUAGCGAUACGGGAGCGGCAGACGGGAGAGUAACACGUGGGAACGUACCCUUUGGUUCGGAACAACACAGGGAAACUUGUGCUAAUACCGGAUAAGCCCUUACGGGGAAAGAUUUAUCGCCAAAGGAUCGGCCCGCGUCUGAUUAGCUAGUUGGUGGGGUAACGGCUCACCAAGGCGACGAUCAGUAGCUGGUCUGAGAGGAUGACCAGCCUCAUUGGGACUGAGACACGGCCCAAACUCCUACGGGAGGCAGCAGGUGGGGAAUAUUGGACAAUGGGCGCAAGCCUGAUCCAGCCAUGCCGCGUGGAUGAUGAAGG
This 362-nucleotide ribosomal RNA is filed under the name uncultured bacterium. RNAcentral's name for it is "bacterial SSU rRNA". It matches the Rfam family "Bacterial small subunit ribosomal RNA", at positions 27 to 414 of the family's 1533-position model. The record is from RNAcentral.